GCUAGGCAUGGUGGCACAUGCCUGUAAUCCCAGCUACUUGGGAGGCUGAGGCAAGAGGAUAUCAAGUUCCAAACCAGCAUGAGCAACUUAAAAAGACCCUGUCUCAA
This 107-nucleotide small RNA is filed under the name Marmota monax (woodchuck). The record is from RNAcentral. Lineage: Eukaryota; Metazoa; Chordata; Mammalia; Rodentia; Sciuridae.